CUGAACAGCAACUUGGAAGAAUGUAUAGCAAUAGCUAAUUGUAAAAAAAAAAAUAUUUUUACAAUAUUGAGUAUAUCGAAUAAAAUUCUAGGUAGAUUUAUGAUAAUGACAUUGUCUAUCUAUGUGUCUUGACCAAAUUGCGUGCCAGCAGUCGCGGCAAUACGCAGAAGACUAGUGUUAUUCAUCUUUAAUUGGUUUAAAGCGUACCUAGACGGUAAAUAUAGCCUAAUAAAGGUACUUUUUUACUAGAGUUAUAUGUGAAAGUGUUUUAAAGUACUGUUGAGUUUAGAGAUGAAAUUCUUUGACACCAGAUAAUUGGCACAGGUAAAGGCGAAAGCAUCACUUUAUGUAAUAACUGACGUUGAGGGACGAAGGCUAUGUGUCGCGAACAGGAUUAGAUACCCCAGUAGUCUUAGCAGAAAAUUAUGAGUGUCAUAGAUUAGAUUUGAUUUGAUCUAUAAAUGAAAGUGUAAGCAUUCCACCUCAAGAGUAAUUUGGCAACAUUGGAACUGAAAUCAUUAGACCGUUUCUGAAACCAGUAGUGAAGUAUGUUGUUUAAUUUGAUAACCCGCAAAAAACCUUACCACAACUUGAAUAUAAAUCAUGUAUUUUUACAAGCGUUGCACGGCUGUCUUCAGUUAAUGUCGUGAGAUAUGGUUUGUUCCAUUUAAUUAACGUAAACCCUAGCUCUUUUUUUUAUAGAGUUGUUCGCCGCUAUAUUGGAAAUGUUAAAA
This 734-nucleotide ribosomal RNA is filed under the name Pannaria rubiginella. RNAcentral's name for it is "partial small subunit ribosomal RNA". It matches the Rfam family "Bacterial small subunit ribosomal RNA", at positions 341 to 1171 of the family's 1533-position model. Lineage: Eukaryota; Fungi; Ascomycota; Lecanoromycetes; Peltigerales; Pannariaceae. The record is from RNAcentral.